This 111-nucleotide ribosomal RNA is filed under the name marine eukaryotic metagenome. The record is from RNAcentral.
GGUGGUUCUAGCGAAGCGGCCCCACCCGUUCCCAUCCCGAACACGGAAGUGAAACGCCUCAGCGCCUACGAUACUGCUCUGGCGACGGAGUGGGAAAAUAGGUCAUCGCCG